CGCAAUGCUGCUUUGUGAGUGUCUAUAUAACAAGGAAAAACAUGCUUUUGAAGUCAGUCAUUUUGCCAGGUGCAGUUUGAACUGCUUUCUCCAUUAAAAAGGAAAGAAAAAAAAAACUGAAAGAAAAAUAACUCCUAAGCUGCAGCAUGUCUUGUCUUUUGGCCCACGACACAAUCUGGAGAACCAUCUCAGACUCAGUCUAUCUAGGAAUUCAACCCUGCCUGAAGGGCUGAAUCUGAGUCCCACUUCACUCUCUGAACCUGACAAGAAAUGUAGACCUAAGCCACCCAAAUGGUUCCUGUCUUUUAGGGACUGACCCCAAGUUCUUGCUAUAUUAAGCACCCCAAUAAGAUUCUGACCCUAGAAUUGCUGCUCAGGCUCUUCUUUUCCUUAAUUCCCUUCAAUUUUAGUUAAUGCAUUUUAGAGUCACUUGCACAAAUGGUCUUGCAAUGUGAGCCCACCGUUUUUGUGCUGGCACAGCCAGCAGUUCCAAGGAAAUCCAAGUUCCAGGGAGUGUGCAUUGGGUGAGCUGUGGGUGAGAGAGCCUGACGCCAGCGGGGUGCCCCGAGUCAGGAGACAUUCCUCCCCAGGUCUGCUCCUGGGGCCAGGGCUGGCACACAGCGUGGGAGGGGGAGGCUUGAAUCUGAGAGAGGGAAAGACAAAACUAGAUUUCCAGGAAGAAUUAGUUUCCACUCAAAACUGACCCCUGUUAAAAGAAGAACGCAGGUGCUACAUGCCGGGUGAACACCGGUGCCUGCGUGCAGCUAUGGCAGCCCCUGAAAAGGCUGAUUCUAGUGAACAUGCAGUCCUUGGUGCUACCUCUAAAAGCAGAACAAUAACAACAAAAAAAAAUUAAAUAGUUUUUACAUCUUACAUCAAAGAUGCCACUACAAAAACACAAUAGUAUCACACAUUAAUUAGUACAGUCUUAAAAAUGCAAACCAACGCUGGUAAGACUCCCAUACAUUCUGCAUAUCGUAUGUACAGGGGAGAACAGCUUCUCGAGAGGAGGGGACAGUCACAGAGAGAUAAUCUUCUGUUUUCUGAGUAAGUUGCAUAAUACAAAUACAUUAUCAGCAUAAGAAAACUUUAUUCUAACACUAA
This 1104-nucleotide long non-coding RNA is filed under the name Ficedula albicollis (Collared flycatcher). Its description in RNAcentral is "lncRNA (ENSFALG00000025076.1)". The record is from RNAcentral. Lineage: Eukaryota; Metazoa; Chordata; Aves; Passeriformes; Muscicapidae.